Molecule: long non-coding RNA, 366 nt
Filed under: Elaeis guineensis (African oil palm)
Lineage: Eukaryota; Viridiplantae; Streptophyta; Magnoliopsida; Arecales; Arecaceae
Description: long non-coding RNA (EGUI_LNC041024)
Source: RNAcentral
AGAAAGGACAUGAUUGCUUGGAUGAAAACUUGACUAACAAAUCAUAAAGCAAGAAUCAAAUCGGUUCAAAGUUGAUACACCAAAUAUUGUCAAUGAUAGAUGUUCAGCAAAAGCUAGGAUGGAAACCAAUACAGUGGUGAUCAAAUCAAUAUUGAUCUAGAAUCAUGUACUAAUGACAACUUACUUUAGUCUACAUAUUAAUUUGAUAGCUGGGAUGUCAAGAACUCUUUCUGAUAUUUUCUAGUUCUCCUACAGAACCAAAUUUAGUAUUAAAACUAAAAUUUAUGGUAUAGGGAUUAUCUAUCUAGAAUCCUCUACUGGGGUUCACUAAGGUCCACCGACAAACCUUUGGAUCCCUUUGCCCAU